Molecule: long non-coding RNA, 1269 nt
Organism: Argentina anserina (silverweed cinquefoil)
Lineage: Eukaryota; Viridiplantae; Streptophyta; Magnoliopsida; Rosales; Rosaceae
Exons: 7
Source: RefSeq, a predicted model, not a curated record
AACGCCGUCUACCUUCUCUCUGCCUAGCGUCGACGACUUGAUGUCUAACCCAACUAGAAGCAUGUUUUCAGACUUAUGUGUGACCAACCUGCAACAAUCUUCUAAGUGACUUCUGCAAGGAUUUGACAGACAUACAGAAAAUUCAGGUUUGUAGGCGUAUUGGUACCGGUGGUUUUCUCUGGUUGUCACCGGCAUUCUGGUGAUGGUAGCUUCCCAUAUCUCCGCCGGAAAAGAGAGAACCGAAGGCUCGAAACCAUAAUAGUUAUGGGUUUCAUCAACGACGUCGUAGCCUCCUCUCUCUCUCUCUCUAGCAUCUCUGAUCUCUGAUUGAGUUCAUCUUGGUAAUAAACGUCUUCUCCUCUCCGUGCUCCUUCCCUCUGUGACUUUGGUUUUUGGAUUCCAUUAAGUCUUAAUCUCUUUGGAUUCUGGGUUUUCUACCUCUACAUGUUCUUUGAGGCUGAUGUCUUUAACAGCAGCGGCUCUUCAGCUUUGGUGCCUGGUUUAUACAUUGGUUGUCCUUGUGAGUGAGAAAUUAGCAAGCUUCCUGGGUCCUUGUAUCAAAUUCAUGAGCCCAUCGUCAAUUGAGAUCCAUGGAGCAAUUGAGAGCCAGAAAGGGAGAUUGAAGCCUAGGGUAUGUACACAUACUGGAGCUAGGUUGCAAUUAUACUCCUUGAAAACUCAUAGAUUAAAGGAAAAGGGAUGAUUCUAUUCUACUCUGUUCGUUGGAAUGUCUUUUGUAAAGGAGGAAGGCAAAGAGCAAUGAGGAGCUUUGCAGUGAGCUCCUGGAGUUUGUCGCCGCCGUUGAACUUCUACAAGGUCAUGUGCUCUCCAUGAAAGAGCUCUCGCAGCACGGAAGGAAUAUUGGUGGAAAUAAAGUUUCUUUGAAUGCUGUACCUCAAAAGGAAGUUAAAUCCCAUCGGAGUUUAAAGCAAAACAAGGAGCUGCAAGGCAAUUUGAAAAUAGAAACUAGGCAGAUUGUUGAUGGCAGUGUGAAGAUGCCAUAAAACCUUCCCUUGAAGCAAAAAUCAUUUGAGGGAUUAAAUCCAGGUUCAAGAUCCUUGAAGUUUCUAAAACGCCUCUCUGACUAAAGGAGCUUAUGAAAUAAAGGCACUCCCAUGGUUUAAAGGGUUAGAAUGGGACAAACUAUAUCAGAUGGAAGCUGCUUUUGUACCAGAGGUUAACAAUGAGUUAGAUACUCAAAACUUUGAGAAGUUUGAAGAGUUGGGGGCUUCAGUAGAAACUCCAUCAAAAUUUGGUCCAUGGAGAAAG